CAGUAGCCGCGGUAAUACGUAGGUGGCAAGCGUUGUUCGGAAUUAUUGGGCGUAAAGGGCUCGCAGGCGGUUUCUUAAGUCUGAUGUGAAAGCCCCCGGCUCAACCGGGGAGGGUCAUUGGAAACUGGGAAACUUGAGUGCAGAAGAGGAGAGUGGAAUUCCACGUGUAGCGGUGAAAUGCGUAGAGAUGUGGAGGAACACCAGUGGCGAAGGCGACUCUCUGGUCUGUAACUGACGCUGAGGAGCGAAAGCGUGGGGAGCGAACAGGAUUAGAUACCCCAGUAGUCCCUGUCUCUUAUAC
RNAcentral lists this ribosomal RNA (301 nucleotides) under uncultured bacterium. Its description in RNAcentral is "partial 16S ribosomal RNA". It matches the Rfam family "Bacterial small subunit ribosomal RNA", at positions 509 to 807 of the family's 1533-position model. The record is from RNAcentral.